RNAcentral lists this long non-coding RNA (1315 nucleotides) under Helianthus annuus (common sunflower). RNAcentral's name for it is "sRNA HanXRQr2_Chr04g0173491". Lineage: Eukaryota; Viridiplantae; Streptophyta; Magnoliopsida; Asterales; Asteraceae. The record is from RNAcentral.
GUCUCUGAUAACGCUCAAAUCAUCUACUUCUGCACUCUCCGAGCUCACAACUCGUGCAAAACGUUGACCUCCAAACUUUUCACCUGCAGUUGCAGACAGUUAUAAUCACACAUCAAGGACUAUAAACUUUGGAAGCUGCUUUUCCGACUUGUUCGUGAACUUCGCAUGAAUGGUGACCCUUUUCAUCCGUUUCUUAACUUCGUUAUCUGGAUGACAGCUGGCACUGCUUGAACUAACGGAAGCAGGCUCCGUGAAUGAAGUGGAACAACAAGGGUCCUUGUUUGCUGUUGGAAAAGAAGAUUACCAGCUGGAAAAGGCACUCGUGGGAAACGCCGCGAAACAAAUGGACGUUUUGCACAAUCGGGUAAAAAAGAUGGCGUGAAAUGCUCGCACGGAUGGCUUUUGGCAGACAGUUUAACGUAUCUUGAUGUUUUAACCCCUGGGUUUUGUAAUCCAGACAGAUGUGUGACAAUAUUUGAUCUUUUAUCUGCGGUGGAAGCUGAUUCCGUUUCGCAAAUUCUGAAGCAGCUGCGACUUUAUCUCUCUACACCACCAAAAACAUUGUUCAGAAUCCGGAACGACAAAAAAAACAGAAAGUUGUCAACAAGAUAACUUACAAAAUCUCUGGUAUUUCCUGUCCAAUGAACGACAAGAUUUGUCAUGUUCCCGAUAAGGUACGAUGUUAAUCCCAAGUUGAAUAGCAUAUAGCCGAUAUCGAACACCAUUUCUCUUGCAUUCUCAGCGUGAAAGUCUCCGUAACCAGUAGUUGUUAGAGUCACAAUCGACCAAUACAGUGAUGUUACGUAUCUAUUCCAGAUGCUUUCGGUUUUGAAAUUUGGAUAAACCGCACCUAUCCAAGUUUUACUUGGGUCGGGAUAUCUAUCUGCUAUCAAGUAGUUAAAGCAUCCGGCACAGUGUACCGCAAACAGAGUCACCUGAAUUUACAAACCGAGAGGAGGCUGAGAGAUCUAAACGGCACAGUUGAGCUCACGUCAAAUAUAAACCAUGUUGACAGAUGGCCCAAGAGACACAAACAAUGCCUUAAAACAUAGUUUUCUUUGUGUGGUGUAAGGUGGGUUAGAUUAGACUCCAUGCACAGGGGUUGGUGCUUUAGUGGCCCUUUUGUGAUGGUGCUCAAUUACCAUACAGUUGGGGAAUCCAACCACCGACUUGCACCUGGACAUGCACGUGCCUAGAUAUUCAAAAUCUUCUAUGUUAUUAUUAUUGAUUUUUUUUUUAUGAAGGGUGGUUAUAUGUCUUAUUUGCAAAACUUAUUUACUUGUGACAAAGUUAUGUGUAGAGAAAUAUGCUUUGU